This 274-nucleotide ribosomal RNA is filed under the name uncultured bacterium. RNAcentral's name for it is "partial 16S ribosomal RNA". It matches the Rfam family "Bacterial small subunit ribosomal RNA", at positions 523 to 796 of the family's 1533-position model. The record is from RNAcentral.
AUACGGAGGGUGCAAGCGUUAUCCGGAAUCAUUGGGUUUAAAGGGUCCGUAGGCGGACUAAUAAGUCAGGGGUGAAAUCCCACAGCUUAACUGUGGAACUGCCUUUGAUACUGUUAGUCUUGAGUUAUAUGGAAGUAGAUAGAAUGUGUAGUGUAGCGGUGAAAUGCUUAGAGAUUACACAGAAUACCGAUUGCGAAGGCAGUAUACUACAUAUAUACUGACGCUAAUGGACGAAAGCGUGGGGAGCGAACAGGAUUAGAAACCCUUGUAGUCC